GACUCGUCUGACGUACGUAUCAGCUGUCGAUCUGCUAGAUGAGGUGAUCGUCGAGCACUAGCUACUACGCUCAUCGUACUAGAGUAGCAUGAUCUUACGUGAUGCAAAUCAGAGAACAUGCUAGCGUCUGACUACUACUAGACUAGCUAGAAUAAAGCUAAGAUCUGUGUCAGCUUACGUGUCUAGAUAGUCAUCCGAUCGACGUACUAGCAUCAGUAUCGCUGCAGACGUCGCAGCUAGUCUCAUGAUGACUGUCCGACAGCGCGAGCAUGCGAUAUCGAUGCACGCGAGACUACUAGCUUGACAUGAUCGUACGUCAGAGAUGACGCCUCUGUGGCGCUCACAGAUGUGCAUGCUGUCGUCAGCUCAUGUCGUGAGAUGUAGGAUGAGUCCGCAACGAGCGCAACGCUCGUCUACUGCUGCAGCAUUUGAUCGAGGACUCAGUCGAGAUCGCCGCGGUCAACUCGCAGGAAGGUGUAGAUGACGUCAAGUCAUCAUGCUCCUUAUGUCCAGGGUUCACGCAUGCUACAAUGACCGGUACACAGAGUGGCGACAUCGUGAGGUGGAGCGAAUCUCAGAAAGCCGGUCUCAGUUCGGAUUGGGGUCUGCAACUCGACCCCAUGAAGUCGGAGUCGCUAGUAAUCGCAGAUCAACAACGCUGCGGUGAAUACGUUCACGGGGCUUGUACACGCCGCCCGUCAAGUCAUCAAAGUCGGUAACGCUCUAAACAAUGCGUCAACACAAAUAGCACCGUGUCUCCUCGUACUAGUC
RNAcentral lists this ribosomal RNA (771 nucleotides) under Acidipropionibacterium acidipropionici. RNAcentral's name for it is "partial 16S ribosomal RNA". The stretch from base 249 to 689 matches the Rfam family "Bacterial small subunit ribosomal RNA", at positions 911 to 1387 of the family's 1533-position model. The record is from RNAcentral. Lineage: Bacteria; Bacillati; Actinomycetota; Actinomycetes; Propionibacteriales; Propionibacteriaceae.